GGCCUACGAGCCCCAACGCUCCCACACCGACUGUUGUGAAGACACACGGGCGGUGGCUGUGCUAUGGAGGUAAAGUGUCUGGAUGGAGAUUGUGUGUUUUAAACAUGAGGAACUCCAAAGGGACCAUGAGGCAAUACGCUGCAAACUGCUGCAGUGUGCAUGUGUGACUUCUCCAUGUGGUUUAGCUGCAGUGGGGAAAUGCCCUUUACCCCCUAACUAAUCGAGAUGAAUUCUAAUUGGACUCUUUUGGUCAGUUGUAUCUGCUGCCAAGCAAGUGCUAAGUAAGGUCACGCAUUUCAGUUUCUGCCUCUUAUUUUCUGUGUUUAUUACUAUUUUGUUACAUUUACUGUUUUACUUUUCAACCAUCCGAACCAUGCACAUAUUGAAGCACCUGCAGCUUCCAGAUACUUUUCCAAAUGUUUUCACUUGCAAAAAUGUGAUUAUCACAUCAGGUAUAGAUCAGCUCUGAUAUCAACCUUUUUAAACCGAUUGGGUUCCGGACAGAGAACCUAUGAGAUUUAUUUUUAAGCAAUUUUUUAAAUGUGUAUGUAUUUCUAUUUUUAAAUAUUGCAGUAAAUAUGAGUCUCAAAAUGUUGCAUGAUUAUGAAUUGGUUUGAAUAUUUUGUAAAUUAGCGAUUAAAUCACGUGAUGAUGUACUGUCA
Molecule: non-coding RNA, 662 nt
Organism: Paralichthys olivaceus (Japanese flounder)
Lineage: Eukaryota; Metazoa; Chordata; Actinopteri; Pleuronectiformes; Paralichthyidae
Source: RefSeq, a predicted model, not a curated record